GAUGAGAACGUAGCGAAAUGCGAUAAGUAAUGUGAAUUGCAGAAUUCAGUGAAUCAUCGAAUCUUUGAACGCACAUUGCGCCCAUUAGUAUUCUAGUGGGCAUGCCUGUUCGAGCGUCAUUUCAACCCUUAAGCCUAGCUUAGUAUUGGGAAUCGACUUUACUGUCGUUCCUCAAAUUCAACGGCGGAUUUAUAGCAAUCUCUGAACGUAGUAAUUUUUUUCCUCGUUUUUGAAAUACUAUAAACCUCAGCCGCUAAACCCCCAAUUUUUCUAUGGUUGACCUCGGAUCAGGUAGGAAUACCCGCUGAACUUAAGCAUAUCAAUAAGCGGAGGA
Molecule: unclassified non-coding RNA, 334 nt
Filed under: soil metagenome
Description: partial contains 5.8S ribosomal RNA, internal transcribed spacer 2, and large subunit ribosomal RNA
Rfam family: 5.8S ribosomal RNA (bases 5-119)
Source: RNAcentral